RNAcentral lists this ribosomal RNA (497 nucleotides) under uncultured bacterium. Its description in RNAcentral is "partial 16S ribosomal RNA". It matches the Rfam family "Bacterial small subunit ribosomal RNA", at positions 28 to 507 of the family's 1533-position model. The record is from RNAcentral.
GACGAACGCUGGCGGCGUGCCUAAUACAUGCAAGUAGAACGCUGAAGAGAGGAGCUUGCUCUUCUUGGAUGAGUUGCGAACGGGUGAGUAACGCGUAGGUAACCUGCCUUGUAGCGGGGGAUAACUAUUGGAAACGAUAGCUAAUACCGCAUAACAAUGGAUGACACAUGGCAUUUAUUUGAAAGGGGCAAUUGCUCCACUACAAGAUGGACCUGCGUUGUAUUAGGUAGUAGGUGAGGUAAUGGCUCACCUAGGCGACCGUACAUAGCCCAACUGGGAGGGUGGACGGGCCAACCGGGAACGAGACCCCGCCCCAGCUCCCUACGGAAGGAGGAAGAAGGGAAUCUCCGCCAUUGGGGGAAACCUUGCCGGAGCAACGCGCGUGGGUGGAGGAGGUUCUCGGAUCCUAAAGCCCUGUUGUAAGGGGAGGACGGGUUGUGGAGUGGAAUGUUCACGCUGUGACGGUAGCUUACCAGAAAGGGACGGCUAACUACGUG